UAACGACUCUCGGCAACGGAUAUCUCGGCUCUCGCAUCGAUGAAGAACGUAGCGAACUGCGAUACUUGGUGUGAAUUGCAGAAUCCCGUGAACCAUCGAGUCUUUGAACGCAAGUUGCGCCCGAGGCCAUUUGGACGAGGGCACGUUUGCCUGGGUGUCA
RNAcentral lists this ribosomal RNA (160 nucleotides) under Myrcia laruotteana. RNAcentral's name for it is "5.8S ribosomal RNA". It matches the Rfam family "5.8S ribosomal RNA". From Rfam's summary of the family: 5.8S ribosomal RNA (5.8S rRNA) is a component of the large subunit of the eukaryotic ribosome. It is transcribed by RNA polymerase I as part of the 45S precursor that also contains 18S and 28S rRNA. Functionally, it is thought that 5.8S rRNA may be involved in ribosome translocation. Lineage: Eukaryota; Viridiplantae; Streptophyta; Magnoliopsida; Myrtales; Myrtaceae. The record is from RNAcentral.